This 1557-nucleotide long non-coding RNA is filed under the name Scleropages formosus (Asian bonytongue). RNAcentral's name for it is "lncRNA (ENSSFOG00015029124.1)". Lineage: Eukaryota; Metazoa; Chordata; Actinopteri; Osteoglossiformes; Osteoglossidae. The record is from RNAcentral.
CAAAUUUACAAAUAAUUACUAUUGGUGCAAGGUCACAAAUUUCAAAAAUUACUAAAAUUACUAUUGGUGCAAAAAAUCCAAGAAACAAGGUUAUAUAUGUAUAUAAAGUGUACAGUGCGCAAUGUAAACAUGAGUCGUACAUGUGCAAAGUCCUGCAGAGAUAGAUUGGAUCUAUUCGCAGUUGAGGGAGGGUGUGUAUUUGCGUACGCAAGGUAUGUGGAGGUAGUCUGAUGAUAUUGGCGUUGUGCAUGUGUAUGUAUGUGUGUGUGGGAGGGAUGGGGGGUAGUUGACACCUCUCAGGCUCAGAGGGUGAAUUGUGUCUGCUGUGAUGGGUGGAGAGGCAAUGGAUGGGUGUUGUUCAAAAGCCUGAUGGCCUGUGGGUAAAAACUGUUUUUCGACCUUGAAGUUCUGGCUUUAACACUCCUGUAGUGUCUGCCUGAUGGUAAGGGUGUGAAAAGUCUGUGCUGGGGAUGACUGCUUUCCUUGAUGAUGUUAAUGGCUCUCCUGAUGGUUCUGGCCUCGUAUAGACUCUCCAGUGAUGGUUCGAGCAGCUUUCACCACUCGCUGUAGUGCCUUACAAUCCUGUACUGUGCAGCUUGCAAACCACACUGUGAUAGAGCUGGUGAGGACGCUCUCAAUUGCACACCUGUAGAAGCUUCUGAGGAUUCGGCUUGGCAUGUCAAAUUUUCUCAGCCUUCUCAAGAAAUGCAGAUGUUGACACAAUUUCUUGACCAGAUGACACACACACACACACAUUUUCUGAACUGCUUGUCCCAUACAGGGUCAAAGGGAACCGGAGCCUACCCGGUAACACAGGGCAUAAGGCCAGAGGGGGAGGGGACACACUCAGGACGGGACACCAGUCCGUCGCAAGGCACCCCAAGUGGGACUCAAACCCUAGACCCACUGGAGAGCAGGACCCGGGCCAACCUACUGCGCCACUGCACCCCCGAGACCAGUCGGAGAAGACAGCUACUGCUUGAAUGCCUGGUCCUGCUGGCACUGUGGAGCACAGACAGACAAAAAUGCCUGCAGUGCCUGCAGCCUGCAGACAUGGCAUGGCGUUAAGAAGCAAGAGUUCCCUCCCCUCAUGGAUGCUGGAUGCUCAAGAACAUGUCAGUCACAAAGAAAGUCUACCUGUUCUAAAAGCUGAAGUGAUGAGACAUGUAGAGCUGAAAGACAAUAUCAUUACAAGGGUCUUCAUUACAGCUUUACUCACUGCCUAAAAGUCUUCUGUUAUUGCUGCUCAUACUUACUAAAUCAAACACAAAAACGCUUUCAAUGAAAACAUAGUAUUAACUGUACAUAUAGUGUGAAGGAAUAUAUGUUAAUAUACCACAGGCUAUAAAAACUAAAGUAACUGGGUUAAGGGUUAUUACAGCACACAACCCUCCAAUGACUGACACUACAGAGUUGUCUUAAUGUGACAACUUCCAGGUUGUCCCUGCAUUUCUUCACAUAUCUGAGGUGACUGGUUUCACAGUCGGAUAGAAGAGAUACAUGUAUAGUCAGUCCUUUUUUGAAUAAAUGAUGACUUUUUAUUUAUUAUUAUGUUCA